UUUUUUUUUCUUUGUUUCUGCUUUAUUUGACUGAAUUCGAUUUCUCUCAUACAUCUCCUUUUUUCCAUAGGAUUAUUCUUUAAUACAAUCAAUGCCUAUGAUUCUCCGUCUCACAAACACUCAAGGAACAACGACAAAUUUUGGCUUCUCAUCUAAACAGUUGCCUUAAAACAAGGGUGAGUUUAAUAUCUUAAUCGAAGCUCAAGUGUUUUUUUAAUGGUAAAUUAAUUCUCAUACUUUUUACUAUUCUUCUUUCAUCUCUUAUUUUACUUCUUUAUAUCUGCAAUUUCUUUUUUGUAUUAAACCGCAAUUGUAUUUUCACGCAAGAUUUUUGUAUUAAUACAAAUACUUCAAUUUUAAAGUCAUCUCUUAUUUUACUUCUUUAUAUCUGCAAUAUCUUUGAUAUUGUUUCAAAGGCAGCGUCUGCGUCAUGUAGUUACUUACUUGUGCAUAUUUUACAUUUUUUUUUAGACUUCCAAGCUUUGGGUGUCAACGAAUGUUUGUAAACUGAAUUACUAAUGAUGAGAAGAAAAACACAUUACAAUUGGUUGGAGCUAAUGAUGAAAUAAGCGGACAUGUAUAUACCCAGCAUAAUUUUCGUACUUAUACUCUCUUAUAUUUCUAAACUCUUGAUUUGUUAGUUACUGUCUAUCGCAAUUGAUUCUUUGGGUAGAAAAGUUGUACCUUCUUUAUAUAUUUUUCUUAAUCUUUGUAUAUUCUUCAGUCAAUGAUAAUAAAUUUGUUGUAUAUUUAUGCUAUCUGCUUUAUUUUAAAAAUCUUAGUUAAGAGUUGUAGCAGAUAUAAUUUAAAACAAUGUUGUCCCUGCAUAGCAGGGCCAAAUGCUAGUCAGUUAGUAUAUUUCAAAAGUUAAUAUCAUUUUCUUGUACUUAACAAAAUUUAUUUUGUUCCAUAAUGAAUGUUCUGUCCAAUUUUGUUUUUAAAACAUUUUAUGUUUUGUUUUUUUAAUACUUCCCAUCGGUUUGAUAUUUGAGGCCCAAGUAUGUGGCGUUUGAAUUAAUGGCUUCUCUAGUCCAUUAUGAAAUUAAGGUCACAACUCAUUUUUUAAGAACAAUUUCCAACCCAUUUCUCCAAAAAGAGAAGAAAAAAAAAAUCAUAAAUUCAAAUUCGGAGUUAAGUUUUUCUUCAAUUCUACUCCAUUUUGCUGUUGAAAAAUGGGUUUAAAUUUUAGUGUAAAUCGAAAAUAAAAAAAAUCUAUAUAAGAUGAAGAUUUCUAUUUUGGAAAUUGGAAAUAGAGAUAGGUUGGAAAAAUCUAACUUUAAACCAUAUUUUGGAGAUGAAUAUGGAGAUAGUUGGAGAUGGUUUUAGCCUCUUAGGCUCUUUUAUUCUUCACCAAUAAUUAGAGUCUAUGCUUCUUGGUGAGAAGGCAUGCUUGGAAUAUAUAAAAACUGAUAUCGUGGAGUUCUCUUAUAUUUUCCUGUAUAAACUAUCUGUGGUCCAUUGGAGUUAGAGCAAAUAUAUAUAUGCAGUCGUACUCAUUCGGACGUAUAGAUUUUGUUUUAUCAAUUUUUAGUUUUAUGAUUUCAAAGAAUUUAACAUGUAGCCUCAAAUAAGUAAUGCUAUAUAAAAUUCAGAUUUGUACACCACAAAACAAGUAGUUUAGAAAUAACUGUAUCUAAAUAAUGUGAUAAUUAUGCAGCUUCUAGUGGGAUCCGGUUACUUAAUUUGAUUCAGUAUAAACCAACCUAUCAUUAUCAAUUACUCCGUUGUGUGUGCAUUUUUUUUCCCUCUGAAUGUCAAGAAUGUGGUCCUCCAUAUGUAGAAGGCACUAGAUAGUCUAUAGUAUUAUCUUAUAUUAUUAUUAAACAAAUCACUAAUCAAAUGUAGUGGUCUACAAUCAAAUACUGGAAAUCAGAAGUUAUGGUCCUUAAUCUUAGUGAUAGAUUUUUACAUUAGUUAAUGUUCUUAAUUUAUGCUUAUUCAUAUUAUACACACACACAUAAGAGGGCUUACACUCGUUCUAAUAUAUACUAAUGCCAUGACUAGAAUAUAGCGGAAGGUAAAAUGUAUAUUUAUGAUUUAUGUGUAUAUUCUGCAAAACCAAGCCAAGAAAAUUUGGAGGGUUUAUUUCUUUUGAGAAAUUGAUCAAAUCGAUAUAUAGUAAUUAUGUACAAUGUACAUCACAAUACAGAUUACAUGUUUACAAAUUCCCACAGACCUAAACUCUGGUCCGAAAUCUUCCCUAUGAAAAAAUAAACAAAACUUAAAACGCUACUAAAAAAAUGGCGAUCAAAGUUGGUGAUCACACUUCCAUCACAUGAUCUUGGACAUAGUCCACCGGAGAUCUACAUUCUUCCGAUGGCCUAGACUCAGCUAUCUUCUCCGCUACUUCGGCCAUUACCAGCCUCGUCAACAAUAGUCCAGCCACAAACGCAGCUCCCAUCAACAUUGUGAAAACCGCGGUCCAGCUACCCCUCGACGAUAUGUAACCCGUUAGUAAGGGUCCGACCGCCGCUCCAACGGAUCCCGUUCCAUCGAUAAUAGCCGUUACCGUAGCCAAAGCUCUCGAGUUUCCUUUCAACGAGCUGUGUGUUCCAAGAUCAGCUGAAACUGCCGUUGUAAUCAAAGCGUAAGGACCGUUAACCAACAUCCCGGUCAAGAACAUGAGAGACGCGUUGGCUAAUAACGAUACAUGUCCGUAGCUACGGUAGAAGAACAAAGCUGGAAUUGAGCAGUACAUGAAACUCGCAGCCGUAAUAGCUCUUGCACCAAUUCGGUCUGAAAUGUAACCAGCCAUGAUUCCACCAACCACACCUCCUACAUCGAACAUUGUCGAAAGAUUUCCCGCUGUUUCGUCCGAUAAAUAUUCGCCUUCAAUCGCUGCAAAAUAUCAUUCAAAAAUUGUAAUCAGUAACGCAACCAAGACAAGUAAUCUAGUGGUUUGUACUCACUCAGUAAUAAUAUACAAAAAAAUUACCUGUAUGGCUAACGUAAAAUGGGAGCCAGUAGAGGAAAGUGUAAGCGACCAACUUAGCAAAGAAGAGACAGAGCGCGAAAGGCGCAACUCCGGGAAUCCUCCACGCUUCAAUGAAUCCAACAGCUCGUUUCUUGUCAUCGGUUUCCGAAUCCGACGAGCUCAAUAGUAACGGCUCAUUAACAGAGUUUCCGAUUUUCUCAGACGAAGAAUCAAGAACCUCGUCUCGCUCUGCUCCAACAUUCUCUGGACUAACAGGCAAGAAAGCGUAAUUCACCAAACCAAUCACCACAAUGAUAACACCAGGAACAACAAAAGACCAUCCCCAACCAUAUCUCAACAUAGCAGCAGCGAUCAACGAGCCAGUAAUGUUCCCAACAGAAGUAUGAGCAUUCCAUAUCCCCAUGAUCAAACCUCUCUUCUUCUUGUUAAACCAGUUUCCAACAACAGCAACAACCGAUGGCCAACCCGAAGAUUGAAACAAACCAGCUAACAUUUGCAUUAUCAAGAAAUAGUAAAAGCUAUGAAUGUUACCCCAAUAACCAACUCCAAACAGAGAAGUAAACAAUCCAGUUCCUAUCAUUCCAACAGUCAAGAAGAUCCUAAGAUUCAUCCUAUCCCCCAAAUGUCCAGCGAAAUACAUUCCGAAAGCGUAAACCGCAAGAAACGCAACAUCGAUCUCACCGAGCAAAACCGUACCAUCAGGACCAUUGAAAGGAGCCCAACCACCUUCUUCUUUUACAGAGGAACCAAACGAAGUAAAUCUCAAAAGAAGUGAGUUUAGUCCUGUAUCUGGAGAUUGAGGAUCAAGAGCACUUUUGACAAUACUUGUUGUUUUUCUUGCAGCGUGAUAGCUAGCGUAAGCGAGAAACGUCACGAUCAACACUAUGGCUUGAUAAGCACUGUAAGAGAGCUUUGAGCCUUUGAUACGUUCCAAGAAUCGUAUCCCUAUCGGUUUUUUCUCCAUCUCUGGUUCAGAUUGCAUUAGAGAACCCAUCAAAACUUGUUCUUCAGUUCUCGAAAUCCAAUGUUUUGUUUGACCUAAAGAUUGGAGAAAUAAAUAUUAGAUAAAAAAAAAGUAUCAAAAAAGAGUAUAUUCGAAUAUUUCAUAUAGAAUUUUACUUUUUUAACUCUUGGCGUUACAUAAAGGUUACAUCUAGUGAGGAAUCUCUAGAAACGUGUCGGAAUGAGUGACAGAUCGUGAUUUUGUACUUGUGUCUCUUUUAUGAACUCUCAAGAGAAACUAUUUGAAGUGUUUUGAUUAGUUAAAUAACUCAGAUUUUAUUACCUUAAUUUAUUUAUUUUUACUCUAGAUAUUCUUUACCUUUAUAUGAGUUAUGAGUUAUGACCACUAAAUUGGUAUAUUUAAGGAAUAUUCUUUAAACAAAAAAAAUAACAGAGCUUGAAAAUUCAUCAAAUCCUUAAACAGUUUACUCAUGACCUGAUCCAAGUUCAUCUUGAUAAUAUUUGUUGAAAUCAUGCAAGAAAAUAAAACUCAUCCUUUGAAAUAUUCAAAAUUAUAUUAAAUACAGAUUAUAAAACAGAACAGGAUCAACUUAAGAUUCGAAUCUCGAAGAAUGCUAAGAAUAUAAAAGAACCAUCGGGGGACGAUGAAGAAAGAUAUAGAACGAUGAAGACGCAUAUCACGAUUUGAAGAAUUCCUUCGUAAAAUCUGUAAUAAUUACUAGAAUAUUCCAUUGGACAGAACAAAAAUCUCUGAGAAAAUAGAAGAUAACUUGAUACCAAAGAUUUGACUCAAAACCAGAAACAUUCCAAGUUCACUUCAAAGAUAAACAGUAACAACACAACAAAAACUUUAAAACGAAAAAUAAGUUGAAUUAGUACCUUUAGCAAAAAUAACGCUUCCUCCAAAAGAAAUUCUUCGACGAGAUUUUUGACUCUAAAUACUGAGUACUGACGAUUGAGAAAAUGAUAAAAAUUUGGAAAAAAUUGAUGUUUUUCUUUUGCUUUGAAGAUGCAAAAGAUACUUGGACACGUUUUAGGAGCUUGAAGCAACGGCGACGAGUUUAUAGCAUUUGUGCUCAAUAGUCGACCCAAUUAGAAAAUUGUUUUUUUUUAUAUUAUAAAUCUGAAAUUACGAUCUCACCCUUCUAUCAACAAAUCAUAUUCGUCAGAUAUGGAAUUACAGUUUUAACCUUGCUAGUUGCGUCUCUAGUUGUCAAACCACGCCAAUGAACGAAGUCGAACGAUGGUUAUUUCCUACGUAAUAUACCUAAUUAUAUAAUAUGCAUUUUUAAAUAUUAGUUUGCUAGAUUCUUUUUUUCUUAAUUUACUAAAUACUUGUUGAAAUGUUCUAGAUAUACAAUUCAUGUAUGACUUUUAACAUUAUGCAUACUAGAUCUUUCUUAUGCUCAUUAAAAACUAAAUCUUUACAUUUUCUAGAAUUACUAAACUGACAAAUAUAUUUUUCUUUUUCUUUUAUAUUUUAUAAACUUGAAGCUGGAAAUAAAUAUAGCAUUCUACUAUAUGUUUUUCAAAAUUUAAAUUUUCCAUUUCUUUUAUUUCUUUUUUUAAUAUUUUGUAAAUACUAUUUUUGAACCAAAAAACUUGUUUUUUUGAGAACUGUACACUAAAACUGUUGAGAAUUGGUUCAGUUUGAUAUUCAAAUAUUUUAAUUGGUGUACUAAUAAUUCAGGGUCAAGAAUAAUUUAGAAUUUAUGCGUGGUCUACGUUACACGAUGAUUUUUAGUGGAUGAUAAAUAAUAAAAGAAAGAGGUAACAAAUGCACCUAACCAUUUGUUUUACCGUAUAUAAAAAAUUUCGAACUUCAUGAUAAAAACCGGCAUGCAAAGACAGUUAAAAAAAUUUUAUAUACGGUAAAACAAAUGGUUAGGUGCCUUUUAUGCAAAUACUUUUGUACGAAUGCAAAAAUAUCUUUAACAAAAACAAAAAAAAGGACUGUAAAUAUUUUGGAUACGUGGUCCUCACCUCAACCUCGGCCACAUCUACUAAUUUGUACUCUAUUUAGUGUUUUUUUGUAUACUGUAUUAUACUAAAGUCAUUCCUAGGGAUUUGUUAUCGUAAACAAUAAAAUUGUUUUGGGAACUUGAGGACAUAGUAGUUGAUACAAGUGGUUUGGAACAAAAGAAGAAAACAAACACUUUGUAAAUUCAAUCUUAUUGGCUAGAGCUUAGGUGUUAAUUUGGGUUGAAUUUUUAUGAACCCAAUUAUGUGUUAUUGGCAAAUGUGGAUUCCAAAUAUCAAUCCAUAUAUUAAGCAUGUUUAGAUAAUCAACUUCGAUGGGUUCACUAGUUAGAUGGGUCAACUUUCAUAAUCAACUUUCACAAGUUUUAGUUUUUUUUUUUUUUUUUAAUAUAUAUUUCUAUAUGUAUUGUGUAAUGUGUAAACUACACCUUUCCCCCUUUCGUGUAGUAUUCAAGUCCUUUUCUUCUUAUGUGAUAUGUGACAACAAACUUUUAGUAUUCUCAUUUGGAUUAUUGGAUUUGGUAGUCCCAAAACUGAAGAAAAUCAUAAUCAGAAAUUAAUGAGUACUGUUCGUGCAUGAAUUGGGUUUCGCAUUCUUCACGUGCUUUAGAGUAUUUAAGGGAAAUAACAAUUGGAAACUAAAUAAACAACCACCACAGAAAAAAUGUUCAGUAUCAUUUGGGAUCCGGGGUAUACAAUUUGAAGACCCCACAACGCUCAGAUCAGAAAGGGCUCUGAAAGAAAUUAAGUUUUGGAAACAACUACAUUACAUAAAGUAAUAUGUGGAUGUGGUGUGGUGAAUGCAAGUUUCUCAUGGAUUAGCGCAUGGGGCUUUCACAUUUUGUCAUCAAUAAUUCUUAUUAUUAAUUUGAUCAAUGUGGUUGAUAAAAUAUUUGUCAACGUGGAUAGUACAUAAUUUGCCUCUACGGUCAAAGUAGAUAUACGAUUUUAGAAAAAUAAAAGUAUUUGUAUGAGUAUAUAUGUCAAUGUUUAGGUCGUUAUCACCGAUUAUUAAUACGGGACCGCGUAGAUACGUUAAAAUCUUUUCCACUGUCUAUUUGGUCGGCAUUUAAUUAUCAAGUGUGAGAUCUUGUUUUAGGUAAAAAAAUAUGACGAUAACUAAAGUUUGUGUCGACGUUUUUUUUAAAAAAACUACAUUAUUUACGAUGGUUAUAUGGAAGUCUCAAACUAAAAGCUAAGACAAAUUGGUUGGGCCAAAAAAUUAUUUUAGUAAUUUUUUUAUAUUCUCUUAUAUCUCAAAUUCGAGCCAAAUGAUUAGCAUGUGUUUUCUUUACAUACCUUUAAUGCUUUCGAAAUGUAAAAUUUCAGUGAUAUUUUUUUGGUGAGUUUUUUUCCUCUAGUAAAGAGAAACUCUUUCGAUAGAAAAACUCUAAGCUAGUUAAAAUACGAAGCACUUAUUUUAAUGUCCAAAGGCUAUUCAUUCUUCUCCUGUUUAAAUGCUUUGUUUUCUUGUCUAAAUCUUAUACGUGCACAUAACAACACUUUGUUCAAUUACCUAUAUAUGCGCAUUAAUGCUUGUUUCACAAAAGAAACAUAGUUUGGUUUAUUAUGCCUUGACGGUCGUACUCGUAUUUUCAAUACUUAUUUUGAAUAUAGUAAUAGAACUUGCGUAUCGGCGAAAACCAAGGAGGAAAGCGCUACCAUGUUCGGUGACGAACCAUUAUUCUAGACUCUGCCUUUAAAUUUCUUAUACACAAGAAAAGAAAAUCUUUUUUUUGUCUUAGCUCAUCCGAUCCCUUUCGGUUACUUGAUUCAAUUGUAGGAUUUUCGUUCUAUAAAAAAAUAUAUUACCGUUUUGGUAAUAUGUAGCCUAUUGUAUAUAUAUAUAUAUAUCUAUAAAAAAAAUUUGUGUUACUAUCUAAAUUCAAAUCUGGUAGAAAAAGUAUAUAUACAUAUAUAUAUAUAGUUAUUGUGUUAAUACUAUUUUCAUAUAAGUAUAUUUCUUAGUUUUUGUUAAAAUUUAUGAAAAGUUUUUUUCGUGAUCAAAAGUGGCUUAGAGUAAAUCACAUUUUAACAAUGAAAACAUCAAUUAAUCAUUUAAAUUAAGAGUGUCCAUUGAAUACGUUUCCAAUAGUAAAAAUACCUGAUCAUUCACAAAUUAUCAGUGGCGGACAAAUAAUCUAAAUAUUUAGUUUGAACUUUGAUGUAAGAGGUCUUUAUCAAAGAAAAAACUUUAAUGUACGUCUGUUAUAAAACAAUGGGAAUUCAAAUUGGAAAAAUAUUAUCCCUAAAAGUUUUGAUGAAUAUAUAUAAGUUACUUUUAGAAUAUGGAUAUGGUAGGAUGUGAUCAUCGCAUGAUGUACUGGGAGCUGCAAAACGCCAUCCAAACCAGCACUCAUGGGCAUGGCCGCCCACGUGCCACGCCGUUCUUCAACUCUGACGACUCUGAAACUUCUCAAAAUCAUGGAACUACACAAAGUUGGUGUGAUAAGGGCAUUUUAGUCAACACAACGAGUUCUCAUCUUGGCCCACACACAUUACCUCAGAAGUUUUGGAAAACAUAAGAAGGGUAGUUACGUAAGUUUAGAGGUCAUUAUGGAGGGAAAUGGCAUAUUCGCAUAUACCGAAGGAUUAUACUUAACGUGCAGUGGAUAUUCUAUCAACUUGUCCGGGCCCAUAUUGGGGCCCAUUUGGUGCCACGUUUUUUGUACGGAACCGCCCGACGUGGUAAUAAUUGUGGAUGUUGUUCUUUAACAGGAUCGAUCCUUUGAUGACGAGGCGACCAAUUGUCUUGAAUUGAUUCUAGCCUUGGGUUCGAACCGACGUGGUGUUAUUUGAUUAUUAUAUUUGGUUUCAGUGUCAUACACUCUACACGAGCCUCCAUUUCAAAUUUAAUAACAAAUCUUUGUUAGGUCAUAUUGUCUAGCUAAUAUAACAAUGCGACUAGCAGAAUGUAUGUACUACAUAAUCAGAUUUUAUAUAUUCUUGAUAAUCUCUUACAGAUUUUUUAUAACAACUGAUUAUAUGUAAUAUAUGAGUUUAGUGUCAAAGAAAAUUAUGAUAAUAUUUUUAGAAUCUUGAAAAAUUAAUAACAAGUUAUUUACGUAUGGCUGUGGCUGCUUCAUUAGUCAUUACGUUAGUCUUUUGAAAUUUUCAUGACCACAAGAAAAUAUUUCUUCCGGUUUUGAGAUUUUUCGUAACAAACAAAAUUGAAUAAUCGAUGUACAUCACUAACUUCUACGUGGCUUGUGACCAAGACAAAUGACUGUAUAAAGAAAAGAAGUCGUCGUUAGGGGGAACUCAUUUUUUAUAUUUCUAGGGCUGAUAUUUGAUUUGACAAAAAAUAUUGUCCAAUUAUAUGAAAAAGUAUUACUUAACAAUUCUUCUAACCAUUAUAAUGAAAACAUUUCUAGGGCUGAUAUUUUAGUUUUUUGUAAGAAAAUCAUGAAAUGCAUUUUGUUUUGUUUGUUUUAUUACAUGGGCCAAGAUAUGAACUCUCAAUUUCCAAAUACAGAGACAGCUGAAGAUCAAAGGAUAAGGAGUAUUUUCUUUUUCUGUAUACGUUUCUUGGUUUCAUAUGAACAAAAUUGAUUAUGAGAAAAAGAAACAACCAUUAGAAAUAUUUAUUUUAUCUAGCUAUCUUCAAUUAUUUUGCCUAACUUGAUGUGUCCUUUAGGCUUUAAAAAAAAAACUUGAUGUGUCCUUUUAAGUGACACAUCAAUGAACCAUAUGUAUAGUCUCUUGUUGUUUUAUAAAGAUCGAUUGAAUUUGAUUUUCCUCUCUAUCUAUACGUUUUUGUUUGUUUAAAAAUGUCAAAAAUUUGGGUAUCCAGGAUGUUCGAACGCAGGACACGUAUGAAGUGACGUCUUUCACCGCCGUAAAUCUUUGGAUUGACAGUCCGGUAAAAACAGAUUAAUAGCUUGAUAGUCCAAAACGCACGUAUAAAAGUUUUUGCAUGUUGAAAAUAUUCGUAUCCACACAACAUUAGAGAUCAAUCAUGAAACCGAUAUAUUGAAGGUCACCCGACGUCAAAUUUCCCCUGAAAGGGACACCUCAAAAUUACGUGGUUCGUGUAAUCUUUUUUCCUUUAAGAUAGGGAUCGGAUUAUGCAGUAUAAAAUUAAGCAAAUCGUAUUUGGUGAUAUAUCGGUUCUAAUGCAUAACAUCUUUUAUAUUCACACAAUGAAAUAGCUAUUUGUUUUCAGUUUCGAGCUAAAGCCCAAGCUCCAGCCCAAAUCAAACCCAUUUGUACAAAGAACCUCACUCAUCUAUUUGUGCACAAAUUCUCGGAUUUCUCCAACGCUCUCAAUCAUUUUAUAAAAAUUAGAAUUAUCUUCAAUCUCGAUAUACGAACCUAAAUAAUUGAAAACAUUUUUUUUCUUUUUAUGUAUUUUUCUUUUUUAUCAAAUUUCUUUUUAUGUAUAUAAAAUAUUUGUGAAAGUUUCUUCCACACAUAUAAAAGAUUAAAUUUCUUUUUUUAUCCCAAGCUUGAAUAUCAAAACAUGAGACAACAAGAGCAAGUAUUAGCCACCACAAAGCAAUCAUCUUAAAACUCAAACCCCAAAACAAACAAAAGACAAAACCCGAUUGUUUCGAGCACAAACGUCACUUGUGGUUUACAUCGUCUUCAUCAUCUCCAUAACUUCAUAUCUCCUCUCCUUCCGCUGCCACCGUUAGCGAUGUCUUUGGACACUGUGGACAAACUGGUGGUGUUCUUGGCCAAGAGAGACGGAAUAGACAAGCUUGUGAAGACAUUCCAAUACGUGGCCAAGCUCGCGUGCUGGCAUGUUGAAGCCACACGACCCGAAGCCGCCGAUAGGUUCAAGAAGUGGGAGGUCGCCUCCGGUCUCAGCCGCAAAGCCUUCAGGUCCCACAUCUUUUUAAUAUUAAUCACUUUAUCGACAAAGUGGCAUCAUCGUAAAUAUAGUUUAAUAGAUGAAAUGAAAUGAAAUGUUUUAGUCACUUCUUGAUUAAUAUCUUAUCUCAUCUAGCAUAUUUGAAUAGUGACUAGUACGAUACACUUUAUAUUACAAGAAAAAUAUAAUUGAAUAGUGAUUAUGGUCGAAUUAUGCGAACAGGACCGGGAGAUCUCUCACGGGGUUCAAUGCGCUGAGACGAAACCCCGGGGCAACCCCGAUGAUCCGUUUCUUGGCGGUCCUAGCCAAUUCAGGGGAAAUGGUUUACUUCUUCUUUGAUCAUUUUCUUUGGUUAUCAAGAAUUGGUUCAAUAGACGCCAAGCUCGCCAAGAAAAUGAGUUUCAUAUCCGCUUUUGGCGAAUCUUUCGGCUACACUUUCUUCAUCAUCAUUGAUUGCAUCUUCAUAAAGCAAAGACUCAAAUCCUUAAAAAAGCUCCAGCAUUCGACCGAUGAACCGAAAGAAGAAAUCGGCGCCAAAAUUAGCGAGAUUCGGGGAGAUAUAGUAAUGAGGUUGAUGGGAAUUUCAGCCAACGUUGCGGAUUUACUUAUAGCAUUGGCAGAAAUUCACCCAAACCCCUUUUGUAACCACACCAUUACACUCGGUAUAAGCGGUUUAGUUUCAGCUUGGGCCGGUUGGUAUAGGAACUGGCCAUCGUGAGAUGUAAUAAAAUCAAAUGUUUGUUGUUUUGAAUGAACGUAUCAAACGUGUAAUGUAACUCACUUGAAUAUAUGAAACAUUUCUAUUUUACAUUAUCUAUAGUCAAAUCGAAAUCAAACAAAACUAAGGGUAUACAAAAGUAUAAUCCACAUACGUGGGGGACAUUUAUGAAAUUCAUAAAACUUGGUAACUGUAAAAUAGUAACUUCCCACUCUCUCACCCUCUUCACUGGGACGGUUAUUUUUUUUUUUAAAUUCAUUUGCAUCAAAAGUCGUUACCUUCCAGUAAUAUUUAUAGAUUUAUAACGAUGCAAUACUCACUAAAGAAACAGAAACAGAGAUAAUUUUUUCGAAAGAAAUUGAUGAGAAGAAUGAUUCCAACAUCGUUUUCAAGUAAGUUUCAAGGAGUACUAAGUAUGAAUGCGUUGAGAUGUUAUGUAUCAGAGUUUAUCUCAACCUUCUUCUUCGUCCUCGCAGCCGUUGGUUCUGUCAUGUCUUCAAGUAAUUACUCUGUUUCUUGAUGAGUUUGAUCCUUUUUUGCAAUAAGAAGAAAUUGUUAACCUGUGUUUUUUCUUAUCAGGGAAAUUGAUGGCUGGUGAUGUGUCUGGUCCGUUUGGUGUUUUAAUACCGGCGAUUGCUAAUGCGUUGGCGUUAUCAUCGUCAGUUUACAUCUCUUGGAACGUCUCUGGUGGUCAUGUGAAUCCAGCGGUUACGUUUGCGAUGGCUGUUGCUGGUCGGAUUAGCGUUCCAACCGCUAUGUUUUAUUGGACUUCUCAGAUGAUUGCCUCUGUUAUGGCUUGCCUUGUUCUUAAAGUAACCGUCAUGGAACAGGUAAUCAAACAUAUUUACUUUUUGUCUGAUUUUGUGUGCUUCGUUUUGUUUGGUUAUUCUGAUUAGUGUGUUUGAAUUUAUCAGCACGUACCGAUUUAUAAGAUUGCUGGAGAAAUGACUGGAUUUGGAGCAUCUGUUCUUGAAGGUGUUUUAGCUUUCGUCUUGGUUUAUACUGUGUUCACGGCUAGCGAUCCCAGACGUGGGCUACCUUUAGCAGUGGGACCUAUAUUUAUAGGGUUUGUUGCGGGAGCCAAUGUUCUAGCCGCUGGUCCAUUCUCUGGAGGUUCAAUGAAUCCUGCGUGUGCCUUUGGGUCGGCGAUGGUUUACGGAAGCUUUAAGAACCAAGCUGUGUAUUGGGUUGGGCCUCUGCUUGGAGGAGCCACAGCUGCUUUAGUGUAUGAUAACGUGGUGGUCCCUGUAGAAGAUGAUCGUGGUUCAUCUACUGGUGAUGCCAUUGGUGUGUAAUGACUUGUUUAUACUGUUUCAUUUGUUGAAUUGUUGAUGUAGAUCUUUUUUAAUUUUCAGUUUCUGAAAUGUUGUUGACUAGAUGUUUAAUUCCUUGAAUGCUAUGUUACUUAAGUAGAUUUCAUUACAAACAAUUUACUAUUUUGUUACAUAUAACUCUGGUUUGUGAUACUAAGCCGAUAUUUUUGCAUCUAAACAAAAAAAAAUUCAAAAGUACCAUUUGGGUCUUACUUCUUCUUCCUUAUCGGUUAACUCACGAUACUGAUACCAUUCAGUACCUGAAGUACCAAUUGGCAAUGUUGGUCGAAGAAAAACUUCAACUGGUUUUGGCACACUGACACAAAUAUGUAUCUCAUGCUCUGCUUCAUUGAGAUCUCUCGGUUCAGUUCCUCGUGUUUUGCGGAUUGGUUCAAUUGAAAUCCAUCCUAACCCUGAUAUUGCCACAUCACUAGCCGGUCUGAUCAAGAGGUGUGUUAACGUUAGGUGAGGAUCAUUUGUUUUACUAAACAUAGAUGGGAAUGGAAGAUAUAUAUUUCACCUUUUUGCAUCGUUGAUUUCGAUUUGAAGUAACCGGUGAGAUUGUAACCCUUUCCACUCCUGCAUCUGAUUUUUCCCUGAUGGAGGUGUUAGAAGCACACCCAGUUCUUUCUGCAGAACAAAUGAGUAUCAAGUAAAUGGUAAUAAGAAGAUUUAACUUGUCCUUGAAUAAGUAACGAAGUUGAAAAUGAUGGGGAACGGAACUUGCCUCGUAAAAGGCAGUCGCUGUUUUGGUUGGUACUGCAUGAAUCUCAAGAGCUUUUGGUCCAUAGAAUGUGAAACAUGUUUCCGGUAGAGCCUGCAAUAUGUCAAGUAUGUUAAAAAAUUCUGAUAUCCACUGUGAAACUGAAACAUAAUUCUAGUAAUAAUAGUUAUUACCUUCAAGAUGUCAAUCCUAACGAGACCUCCCCAGAAAAAUGUAUAACCGUUUAAGCUCUCACCCUUGGGACUACUUGACGAUUGAGUUGGCAAAGUUGAAAUCUGUAAGGAACAAAAAGCACAGGAAGAUCAUCACACUGGUGUUACGGUAAAAUAAUCUUUACCUGGCCGUAAUAAAGCAGACUUACAUCGAAAGAUUGGCCUCUGAGACGAUUUUGAGGAGCAAGGGCGGGUAAAUCAUCUGAAUGAACGACAGCUGCUUGCCUGUGGUGUAGGUGCACACCCGGUGUGUCAUACAACUUCUGUGGUAAUAAUGUAUUCUUUUAGCAGAAUGUCUACUAUUGCAAUUUUUGGAAAGUUCUAGAAUCUGAUCUUGGUUUAAGUUUAUACCUCUCCUCCGACGAAAGCGUUGAUCUGAAUUGGACCCAAGGUGGUUCCAGGGACAGCAGAUUGAAUUGGUUUGUACUUUUGUGCCGCUGCUGCAACAGGAUCCCUUUCGGCCAUCGUUUCUGUAUGGUGAAGUACAUAUACAAUCAUUCAAACUCUCUUUAUAAAUUGUGGAGAAAUUGGCCAUACUAGAGAUCAGGCUAAAGCAGCACCCAGACCAUAUUCAAGCAGAUACAAACUUCAACAACAAGUGACACAAACACAAUGGAGAACAAAUGACUUACUCAGCAAAGCAUUGAUGAAUGCUGACUUCCCUACGUUAGCUGCACCCUGUGAAAGUAUGAAGAAAUAAUAAAUGAAUAUUUUCUAAACCGUCAAAGAAGUUUCUUUAUAAAUGCAUAGCCUCUAUCUCCAGUAAACGAAUUUAUGAAUUAGUGGAUCAUAUCGAGCAGUGUUGUGUCGAGUUUGUUGUUCUGAUGGACAUCCGAGAAAAUUGAUUUUCACUAAGCACUGCCUCUAUCAUUUAAAGUGUGUUAAGCUAUUAAGUAAAUAGUAAGAACUCGCAUCAGUUAGCAAUAGGUUUACAAACUAAAACUCUAUUUUGUUGGUGACAAAAUUACGAAUGCACAUACCAGAAUGUAGACAUCUCGUCCCUGAAACAAAAACAGGGAUACAGAGGUCAGGUUACAGAAGGUAAAUAAAGAGAAGGUUAUAUUGUCCGACACUGAGCCAUAAUGGAAACAAAAUGUACGCUAAAGAAAACAGCUUUAAGGUGGUGCAAUAUAUAAAAAAAACGCUACCUUUUUCUCCUUCUGGAUCUCUGAUGCAACUCCGCUAACUCCAUCCAGGGACUUUGAACUUGUGAGAUGGACACUCAAGACACUGAAAAGUUAUAUCACACCCAAAUCAAACACUAGCUCCAGAAACAUUACAUCACUUUCUAGCAACAACCAUAGUAGAUAAGUACUUGAUACCUACUUAAGCUUUUUCCUCAUGGUCACUUCCACAACCCAAUCCCCGAUACAAUUCAUAUCCGUUCCUUUUGGAAGAAGAUCAAUCUAACAAUACAAAACACAAUUAUUUACCAUAGUUAGAAAGAAUUGAAGAAGUAGCCAUGUUAUAAAACCUUACCUUAGUUAUAACAAGUAUAAUCGGAUUAGCUCCAACUAAAUCACGAACACGAGCUAAAAAGCUUCCAUUAAAAUCCACUAUAUCAACCUGCAACACAACAAGUUGACGAUCUCUUGGAACAUAAAACAGAAAAGAGAAGUUCAUUCUAACAAUAUCUACUCACCAAUUUAACAAUCAAAGCUUUCUCAUGGCGUAAAUGAGAAAGUUUCUCACGAAGUUCAUCAGCUGAUACAAAUUGUUUCCCACCUGGAUAACCUCCAUUACCACCAACUGCUGUAAUCAUAUGUCCAUGUGACAAUAGCUGACAUCUUCCACAUAUCAUAGUUCUUAACUGGUGAUGCUUCUUCUUCUACAAUAAACACAGAAGAAACCAUCUCUAAUUCAUCAAUCAACUAACUCAAAAUUGAGAUUCUCAAGCUCGAAUUCAUACCAAUUCAUAAGUAACCAAAUCGACAAAUCCCGGAGAAUCGACGUCGGAAGUUUGUAACGGAGCUCCGCAGCCGUAACAACAUGAGACUGAGGUAUCAACAACUUUCCGUGCAAUAAUCUCCUCUUUCUUUUUCUUCUUCUCCUUUUUGAUCUCUUUCUUCACUACUUUCUGAGCUUCAUGAGCUCGUUGGUUCUCCAGGAACCUUUCUCCAGGGGUUGGAGCAGCCGCCGCAAAUCCAUCUCGUUCCGAGAGUGAAACUGGUGGUUCUGAAUUAGCUAUUGAUUUACAGACGAUUGAUGUCGUCGGAUUACGGUAAAUGACGGUGAGAUUGGGUUCACGUCUCGUCGUUGUGUGGCGACGAGGAAGAGAAGGAAACGUUGAGAGUGUUCGUAGCGCCAUUGCUGAGAUUUUUCCUCACCAGCUGUUGUUUGUUGUUAUGUUAUCUAUUAAACCCAGAGAGAGAACAAGAGAGACUCUAACUGGUACAGAGGUUUUACUCGAAAGAAGAACCUCUGGUUGAUUGGAGACGGUUAUAUCCGCCCGGGACAAAAUAACCGGAAUCGAAUACCCGAAAUGAACCGAUCCAAAAUUAGGGUAUAGAUUAGAAAUUCAGUUUCCCGCUCUUUUGCUACCAAAUCUCAGAAGGCCCAAUUUUAAAGAGAAAAUUAUGUUUUUUUAUUUGGUAAAUUGAAAAAAAGAAAAAAGAAAAAUUCAAAUUUGCUUGUAAUAAUCCUCUCAAAGAGAAUUCAGUUAGACGAUUCGUCUCUACUUCUCCUGCAACGGUUAGAUUUUGAAUCUACGCUCUCAAUUUCGGAAGCUUGUUGUGAUACUUCCGUCUGGGUUUCCAUUUCUAGGGUUUAUGGGGUUUAGUUUCUAAAUUAGGGUAAAAUUUGGGGAAGAAGAAGACAACAAAGAUGCAUAUAAAGGAGAUAUGCUUGGAAGGUUUCAAAUCAUACGCAACGAGGACAGUAGUUCCGGGUUUUGACCCGCAUUUCAACGCGAUUACGGGUCUAAACGGAUCCGGAAAAUCCAACAUCCUCGAUUCCAUCUGCUUCGUUCUAGGUAUCACUAAUCUUCAACAAGUUCGAGCUGCUAAUCUACAGGAACUCGUUUACAAGCAAGGACAAGCUGGAAUCACUAGAGCCACUGUUUCAGUUACCUUCGACAAUUCCGAGAGAAAUCGAAGUCCUUUAGGUCAUGAAGAUCAUUCAGAGAUUACAGUAACUAGACAAGUAAGUCUUAUUUAAGGUUUUAGUGAAAAAAGGUUUCGUUUUUAAGUUUUGUUAAGAGUGAAUUUUGUUUGUUUGUGUGUGUUUGAAGAUUGUAGUUGGUGGAAAGAACAAGUAUUUGAUCAAUGGGAAGCUUGCACAACCAAAUCAAGUUCAGAAUCUUUUCCAUUCGGUGCAGCUUAAUGUGAACAAUCCUCAUUUUCUGAUUAUGCAAGGGCGUAUUACCAAAGUUUUAAACAUGAAACCUAUGGAGAUUUUAUCUAUGCUUGAAGAAGCUGCUGGUACGAGAAUGUAUGAGAAUAAGAAAGAGGCUGCGUUAAAGACGUUGGAGAAAAAGCAAACUAAGGUUGAUGAGAUUAAUAAGCUUCUUGAGAAAGAUAUAUUGCCAGCUUUGGAGAAGUUGAGGAGAGAAAAGUCGCAGUAUAUGCAGUGGGCUAAUGGUAAUGCGGAAUUAGAUCGGUUAAAGAGGUUUUGUGUCGCUUUUGAGUAUGUGCAAGCGGAGAAGAUUAGAGAUAAUUCGAUACAUGUUGUUGAAGAAAUGAAGAUAAAAAUGACUGGUAUUGAUGAGCAGACAGAUAAGACACAGGGUGAAAUAUCGGAACUGGAGAAACAGAUUAAAGCUUUGACUCAAGCAAGGGAAGCUAGUAUGGGAGGAGAAGUAAAAGCUUUGUCUGACAAAGUUGAUUCAUUGUCUAAUGAAGUGACACGUGAAUUAUCCAAGCUUACUAAUAUGGAGGACACCCUUCAAGGCGAAGAAAAGAAUGCUGAAAAGGUUACCUGACAGUUAUUACCUUGGGUUGAAAUUGUUACAGAUUCUCAGCUAUUUCUGACAUUUUUUGGUGUUGCUAGAUGGUUCAUAAUAUAGAAGAUUUGAAGAAAUCUGUAGAAGAAAGAGCUUCUGCUCUCAACAAGUGUGACGAAGGAGCAGCAGAACUAAAACAAAAAUUCCAGGAAUUUUCAACCACAUUGGAAGAGUGUGAAAGAGAACACCAGGUAGUUUUAAUAAGUAGAAGCUUUAUUUACUGAACCUAUCUUGUAUGUUAAUUGGGUUUACAUCCCUUGAUAAUUAGGGUAUACUAGCUGGUAAGAGUAGUGGAGAUGAAGAGAAAUGUCUCGAAGAUCAACUACGUGAUGCAAAGAUUUCUGUUGGAACAGCUGAAACGGAGUUGAAGCAGCUGAAUACCAAAAUUAGUCACUGUGAAAAGGAACUAAAAGAGAAAAAGUCUCAGUUAAUGUCAAAACAAGACGAAGCUGUUGCAGUGGAAAAUGAACUUGAUGCUAGAAAAAAUGAUGUAGAAAGUGUAAAAAGGGCAUUUGAUUCUCUUCCAUAUAAAGAGGGUCAGAUGGAAGCAUUGGAGAAGGUUAGUAUGCUUUCCCUAUGAUUUUUUUUCUUUCUUCUUCUGUUACAUAAUGAAUACAUCUGUGACUCAAAUUUUCUUAGGAUCGAGAAUCAGAACUUGAAAUUGGGCACAGGCUGAAAGAUAAAGUGCACGAACUUUCGGCUCAAUUAGCAAAUGUUCAGUUUACAUACCGCGAUCCUGUGAAAAACUUUGAUCGAUCAAAGGUGAAAGGUGUGGUUGCAAAACUGAUAAAAGUGAAUGAUAGGUCCUCAAUGACAGCUUUGGAGGUAAGUAAGUUAUUAUAUUGUUGUUAUAUUAUUAUACUUUGUCAGAUUGUUUGAGUUCUCUAAGGUGACUAUUUUUUCAGGUUACUGCUGGUGGGAAGUUAUUUAAUGUUAUUGUAGACACAGAAGAUACUGGAAAACAGCUCCUUCAAAAGGGUGAUCUUCGGAGAAGAGUUACAAUUAUUCCUCUUAACAAAAUUCAGUCUCACCUAGUUCCACCUAGAGUGCAGCAAGCCACUGUUAAAUUAGUAUGUGGAUCUUUUUUGUUCUACUGUCAAAUUCAACUCUUUCUUUGUUCCUUGCUGAUUUUCUGCUAAUUUCUCCAGGUUGGAAAGGGUAAUGCGGAAUUGGCACUUUCUUUAGUUGGUUAUAGUGAAGAAUUAAAGGUGGGUUGGUUGCCUGCUCAAAGUACCAAGAAUCUGAUACAUUUGCAAUUUUGCAUCAUCUAUUAGUUUAUCAAAUUUCUGAUAACCUUAUAUUAUGCAAUGCAGACAAUUAAAUCCUCUCACUCAUGAGCUGUGUAACUGCUGAUUUUGUGUUUUAGAACAUUUAGUUAUGGACAGACUGAUACCAUGAAUCCAACUAUUCAAUUUCAUUUGACAUUCUCUAACUUUUUGCAGAAUGCCAUGGAAUAUGUUUUUGGUUCCACUUUUGUUUGCAAAACUACUGAUGCGGCUAAGGAAGUAAGUAUUUCCUAGACAUUAGAGUACCCUGUGUUUUUUGAGGUGUGUAGAGCUGUAUUCUAAGCUGGUUAUAUAACAACCUUACUUGACAUGUGUUUUCAGCUGGGCCUUUGUUAUAUUGUCAUCACCUCAAUCUUCUCUCAAAACUUGGACCGGCGAUUUCCCUCUUUAUAUUAAUGGAAUAUGACUCUAGCAAAAUUUAAUUCCUAUAGUUCUCAUAUAUGUUCAUCGUUCUCAAAUAAAUUUUUUUUUUUGCUCAAAAUUUGAUUGGUUUGCAAUUGUCAGACAUAAUUUAUUUUCCGUACUAUCUUCUUCCUUAUAUUGAGACUACUCUGUUUUCUUUAGAUAUUUCAUUCGUUGAUUUGUGUCUCAAAUGGUUGUUCGGCAGGUAGCAUUUAAUAGGGAAAUUCGGACUCCUAGUGUUACACUUGAAGGUGAUGUAUUUCAGCCAAGUGGUCUUCUUACUGGUGGAAGUCGCAAGUAUGUCAUUCUUUCUAUUAGACCAGUAGAUCUUCAUGGCGUUCAUCUUCUUGAUUUCAUAUAGAUAUGGUUCAGCAAGGCCUAUAACCUGACCAAAAACAUUAUAUAUUUUGUAUUCCUCUGUUGCAGGGGUGGAGGUGAUCUGCUAAGACAACUUCAUGAUCUGGCCGAGGCUGAAACAAAAUUUCGAGCACAUCAGAAAAGUUUGUCUGAAAUUGAAGCAAACGUAUAUAUUUCUUCAAUUUUUGAUAUGCUAUUGCUUUCCUUUUAGAAAAAGACACUUUGGCCUUUGACAACUGAAUUAGGCGCCAUAGAAUUUCUACCGAACCAUUUGAAGUAAAACCAUAUACAUUUUCUUCAGGUUAGAAUUAGAUCUGGGUCAUUGGGAACUCGAGGCUCAUGUCUGUUCAUUGGUGAUCUAAAAGAAAAUAUAAUCUUAGCUGCUGAAACUGACACUUUGAACCUUAUUUAGAUGUCUCAUCAUCUUAGAUAGUCAAUCAGUUUGGUUGUUUCUGGUUCAAAUGAAACAUGGUUUAGUUAGUGCCAUUGCAGCAUAUUGAUAUACCAUGUUUAUUUUUCUAGGAUUUAUUGAUAACUCAAUUAUGUUUGUGAAGGCUCCCACAUAAUGUUGUUGUCGACUCUGGGUUCCUACUGCAAGUUAUAUGGUUUUGCAUAAACCCUACAUGUUCUUCAAAUUGCAGAUCAAGGAGCUUCAGCCUCUUCAAACGAAGUUCACAGACAUGAAAGCACAGUUGGAGCUGAAAAUGUAUGACAUGUCCUUAUUUCUAAAAAGGGCUGAACAGAACGAGCACCACAAGGUUUUAUAUUUUUUCUUGUCUUCGUAUCUCCAUUUGUCUACAUCCUUGUAGCUUAAAUUUCCGAAUUAUAUUUUUUCCCUUCCUAUUGGUGCUAAAAGACAUAUUUAUAGUAUCACUCCCUUUUACCAAUUGUAUAUAUAGCUUGGUGACGCAGUGAAGAAACUUGAAGAAGAGGUUGAAGAAAUGAGAUCCCAAAUCAAAGAGAAGGAAGGUCUUUACAAAAGUUGUGCUGAUACUGUCUCCACGCUGGAGAAAUCCAUCAAAGAUCAUGAUAAGAACAGAGAGGGAAGACUCAAGGACUUGGAAAAGAAUAUUAAAACUCUAAAAGCUCGUAUUCAGGCAUCCUCAAAAGAUCUAAAGGUAUCCCAGAUCUUUCAGUCAAAGAUUCUUUUUCUUUGUCCUGGACCCCUGGUUUACCAACUUUUUGCCUUUUACAUUUCUAAAAUGGCUUCAUAGCUUUUGGUCUAUGUUUCUUCUUGCUCAUAGGGUCAUGAAAACGUAAGGGAGAGGCUUGUGAUGGAGCAAGAAGCAGUGACGCAGGAACAGUCAUAUUUAAAGAGCCAGCUAACUUCAUUGAGGACGCAAAUUAGCACUCUGGCUUCAGAUGUGGGCAAUCAACGAGCCAAGGUACUGCAAUUAUUUCUAUCUGUGUCUUUUAACUAUAAAGAAUAUACGAGUAACAUGUGGAUGUGACCCUUCUGCAGGUGGAUGCCAUACAGAAGGAUCAUGAUCAGUCUCUCUCUGAGCUCAAGUUGAUACAUGCAAAGAUGAAGGAAUGUGAUACACAGAUUAGUGGUUCUAUUGCAGAGCAGGAAAAGUGUCUGCAGAAGAUUAGUGACAUGAAGCUUGACAGAAAGAAGUUAGAAAAUGAGGUCUGCCCUCUUCACUUUGUUUGUCUGGAAAUACAUGUGUUAUUUCUUGCAGCGUUCUCCCUAUCUAAUGACAGAUGUCUUGGGUUCACUUAAUUACUUUGACUUUAAUAUUGAAGUAGGACUGGGUGUUGGAUGAUAGAGGUGGAUAUAAGUAUUAGGACUUCCUGGUAAUUCGGCUUAUAAAAAAAUUGAAGAUGUUGUAUACUCAUGGGAGAACAUUUUACUCUGAGUAGGUGACAAGGAUGGAGAUGGAGCACAAGAAUUGUUCAGUGAAGGUAGACAAACUUGUUGAGAAGCAUACAUGGAUUACAUCUGAGAAGCGGCUUUUUGGAAACGGAGGGACAGACUAUGAUUUUGAAUCCCGCGAUCCUCACAAAGCAAGAGAAGAACUUGAAAGACUCCAGACAGAUCAAUCAAGGUAUGUUUCUAAGGAUAGUCAUAGAUUUAAUUUUGCAACUUAUAUAAUAUUCACUCUCAUGCAAUGCAAUAUCAAUGGAAUGUGCUUUAUUUUUCUUUUUUGUUUCUUCUCUUUAAUUAAAUGAGAAAUCUCUCCUCUCGUUUCCUGGCUAUUCAUUCUCUUAUAAAGUCUAGAGAAAAGAGUGAACAAGAAGGUCACGGCUAUGUUUGAGAAAGCUGAAGAUGAAUAUAAUGCUCUUAUGACCAAGAAAAAUAUAAUCGAGGUUAGUUUUGGAGGGUCUGUGCAACAUAGUUUAAAAAGCUUAAAACACAUUUACGAACUAUGUUUUUUUUUUUUUCAUUUUCUUAGACUGACAAAUCAAAAAUCAAGAAAGUUAUUGAGGAGCUUGAUGAGAAGAAAAAAGAAACACUGAAAGUUACAUGGGUUAAAGUUAACCAGUGAGUUGCUUAUUUAGUUUCUUUACUUAACCAUGUGAUUCACUUCUCUUUACGAUAUUUAAAGUUGGAUCCUUAUCGUUAGGGAUUUUGGUUCCAUCUUUUCAACUCUACUACCUGGCACCAUGUCAAAAUUAGAACCUCCAGAGGGAGGUACUUUCCUUGAUGGUCUUGAGGUCCGUGUUGCUUUUGGAGAUGUCUGGAAACAGUCUUUAUCUGAACUAAGUGGAGGGCAAAGAUCUCUUCUUGCACUAUCUUUAAUCCUGGCGUUGCUACUCUUUAAGCCAGCUCCUAUUUAUAUCUUAGAUGAGGUACAUCUCGAUUUUCCAUUUCCAUGAAUCAUUGCUCUUCCUUUGCAUUUUCAAUACGUAACGACUAAAUUCGUGUUGACAGUGAUCUUGAAAUGUUCACAAUCACAUGAUCUUGUUGAGUUUGAUGACAUAAGAGAAGUCAUGACUUUAUUUUUAUCAGGUUGAUGCAGCUCUUGAUCUAAGCCACACACAGAACAUAGGAAGAAUGAUAAAAUCUCAUUUCCCACAUUCACAGGUCAUAAUUUUACGGAUUUCUCUGAUUGUGUAGUCACCAUGAUUCAAAAAGCUUUAGUUAUCUAUUUAUAUCUCAAACAUUACUGCUGUCUGAUAUGAUUUCUCUUACAGUUCAUUGUGGUUUCACUGAAAGAAGGAAUGUUCAGCAACGCCGAUGUUCUCUUCCGAACAAAAUUCGUGGAUGGUGUUUCAACGGUCCAGAGGACAGUAACAAAACAGAGCUAAUAACCUGCUUAUAUCCUUAACAACACUAAUGAUGUAUAUACUCUUCUUUCCUCAAUCAGGUUGGCUUAUAUGUGUGUUCUACGUAUCUUUUAAGAUCUGUAGCCAAUUAUUUGUUGGUACCUAUUGUCUAUGUCUAGAGACCGAAGCUUAACUUAAACUUUUGUUUUUUUUGUUGCAAAUGUAUUAAGAGAUUGUGAAUCUAAGUUAUGGUGUGCUUAUAUAUAACUGUUGCCACAUGAAUAAUAGAUAUUAAAGAGUACAACAAUGUUGAUUAACUUAGUUCCUCUGUACAUUGAAGAUUCCAAAUUUGUUCAUGGAGCUACAACGGUUCAACAAUAAUUCAAGCUCAAAAACCAAGAACUCUAAGAUGAAACACACUCACAGACAGACAUGAAAGUGAUGGAAGAUAGAUAGGUAUGAGAUCAUAAGUCUGUCUUCACUCUUUAGUUGAAGGUUUGGACAAUAGUGUUGUGCCAUGGGUCAGACAAGUGCUGCAACAGAUUCUCAAAUGGUCCUUUUCCAGUCACAUUGUGUUGAACCACAAACCCUAAGAAUGCCAACAUCGCCAACCUCCCUGCAACAACAACAAAAAUGUCUUUUAAGUCUUUUAACUACAACUAGCAGUUUCUUGCAUAACAAGAAUAGCGGAUUAGUCUAAGCUUACCGUUUGCUAGCUCUUUCUCCUUGGCCUCUUGCGUAGGAGCAAAGUUAAGCGGGUUAAAGAUUCCACCAGGGUAACCAACUUCACCCUUAGGUAAGCUGUAUUGCUUAAAGAUAGGGUCUUGGUUCACACUUCCUGGGUUCUUGAUGUCUUGCCACCGUCUGAUCUCAACGUAAUGAAACAAUAUGAACUCGAUCACGAACAAUGUCGACGACGAUGCAAAAUACUGCUCUUUCCCAGCAUCGUACCACUCAGG
RNAcentral lists this long non-coding RNA (23815 nucleotides) under Arabidopsis thaliana (thale cress). RNAcentral describes it as "long non-coding RNA (ATHA_LNC000175)". Lineage: Eukaryota; Viridiplantae; Streptophyta; Magnoliopsida; Brassicales; Brassicaceae. The record is from RNAcentral.